This 286-nucleotide long non-coding RNA is filed under the name Mytilus galloprovincialis (Mediterranean mussel). The record is from RNAcentral. Lineage: Eukaryota; Metazoa; Mollusca; Bivalvia; Mytilida; Mytilidae.
UUUCUUUUAAUUUACUGAUAGCAAAAUCAAUAUUUAUGCCAAUAAAACAAUAUUCAAUGAUCUUAUUACAGUGUUGAAUUGGUAACCCUUUAGAAUAAGUUUAUUUAAAGGAGCGAUAAGUUUACAUAGAUCAUUUCGAAAUUUCCGGGCACGGUUAACAACAUUUCCGUAAAAAUGAGGAUGUGCUAUCCCGUUUGAAAUAAGUUUUCUACAAGUACAACCAAACUUCAAAACAAAAUCUUUAUAUCUAUGGAAAAAAUUUAGUAAAGGUUUUAAGUAAUUUAUG